AUAACCCUACGGGAGGCAGCAGUGGGGAAUAUUGGACAAUGGGGGAAACCCUGAUCCAGCGACGCCGCGUGAGUGAAGAAGUAUUUCGGUAUGUAAAGCUCUACCAGCAGGGAAGAAAGAAAUGACGGUACCUGACUAAGAAGCCCCGGCUAACUACGUGCCAGCAGCCGCGGUAAUACGUAGGGGGCAAGCGUUAUCCGAAUCUACUGGGUGUAAAGGGAGCGUAGACGGCGAUGCAAGUCUGAAGUGAAAGGAGGGGGCCCAA
RNAcentral lists this ribosomal RNA (265 nucleotides) under uncultured bacterium. Its description in RNAcentral is "partial 16S ribosomal RNA". It matches the Rfam family "Bacterial small subunit ribosomal RNA", at positions 333 to 612 of the family's 1533-position model. The record is from RNAcentral.